RNAcentral lists this ribosomal RNA (88 nucleotides) under Sphingomonas jatrophae. Lineage: Bacteria; Pseudomonadati; Pseudomonadota; Alphaproteobacteria; Sphingomonadales; Sphingomonadaceae. The record is from RNAcentral.
CUUGGUGGCCAUAGCGUCCGUGACCCACCCGAUCCCAUCUCGAACUCGGCCGUGAAACCGGACAGCGCCGAUGGUACUAUCGCCUAAG